GUGGUGGCUGUUGUGUGUGUUUUUAGUGGUGGAUGUUGUGGGUGUUUGUGGUUGUUAGUGGUGGUUAUAUAAAUUCACUACAGUUUUACUAUUUGCCAAAGCUCCUUCUCUCUGUAGCUAAACUGUAUACUGUACUUUACUGUAAUAUAUAGAAGAUAAUCAGGUACAUCUCUGAAAUGCUAAUUUUUUUCUCAGACCAUUGUCCUUCUUUUGGCAUGGCCACCUCCAGUUUGGGUGGCCAUUAGGUACAUGAAGACAGGCAAGGCAGCACGUCUGGGAGUCCCCUACUGGUUGGAAAAGUACCCUCACAAAGACACAACCUCGAACUGUGCCAUCCUCUAUAAAAACGGUGGCUAUUAUUGGAUUGAUGCUAAGUGUGACACUAGAAAAGCUGCUGCCAUCUGCCGCUAUGCAUAAACCCACAAUGACAACCAUCUGCUGCUAUGUGUAAACCCACAUGAAAACCAUCUGCCACUAGGUGUAAACCUACAAUGACAACCAUCUGCCACUAUGUGCAAACCUACAAUGACAACCAUCUACCACUAGGUGUAAACCUACAAUGACAACCAUCUGCCAUUAUGUGUAAACCUACAAUGACAACCAUCUGCCACUAUGUGUAAACCUACAAUGACAACCAUCUGCUACUAUGUGUGAACCUAAAUGACAUCAUCUAAGGAUUGAAAUUAGCCUAAUAAUUCUUGAGUCCAUUCAGUCACAUUAAAAAAAUUCUCUCACAAGAAUUCCUUUUCUUUAAUGGAAAUCUACACAACCAAAAGAACAGGUUUAAUACCUACAUUGGUAGUCUAAAUUAUUUUUGGUACAGAUACUAAAACAUAAUAAUUGUUAUAUUUCAAAACAAUAAUGACAGAAUAAAGAGUUGCAAUACAUGUGGGUAACUAUGACACCUCAUGAGCCACAUCUUACCUUACUUUAUCUUCCGUGCCACUAUAGUCGGUCGACAGUCAGACAGUUCUCUCAUCACACUACUGGCAAGCAGAUAGAUGGAUGAAUAAAUACACAGAUGCUUAUGAAGUAAAAUGUUGUAAAAAUUCACGUUGGUUGAGUACUGAACAUGGAGAAUCAAGAGGUAAUAAACCUAACUCAACAAA
Homarus americanus (American lobster) is the source of this 1109-nucleotide long non-coding RNA. RefSeq lists it as uncharacterized. NCBI's taxonomy places the organism in Eukaryota, Metazoa, Arthropoda, Malacostraca, Decapoda, Nephropidae. The transcript has 2 exons. The record is from RefSeq and is a predicted model, not a curated record.